GUGUCAGCCGCCGCGGUAAUACGUAGGUGGCAAGCGUUGUCCGGAUUUAUUGGGCGUAAAGGGCGCGCAGGCGGUCCGUUUAGUCCGAGGUGAAAUCUCCUGGCUCAACUGGGAGGGGUCUUCGGAUACUGGCGGACUCGAGGUGAGCAGAGGUGAGUGGAAUUCUGGGUGUAGUGGUGAAAUGCGUAGAUAUCCAGAGGAACACCAGUGGCGAAGGCGACUCACUGGGCUCCACCUGACGCUGAGGCGCGAAAGCGUGGGGAGCGAACCGGAUUAGAUACCCGCGUAGUCC
RNAcentral lists this ribosomal RNA (292 nucleotides) under uncultured bacterium. Its description in RNAcentral is "partial 16S ribosomal RNA". It matches the Rfam family "Bacterial small subunit ribosomal RNA", at positions 505 to 796 of the family's 1533-position model. The record is from RNAcentral.